RNAcentral lists this ribosomal RNA (463 nucleotides) under uncultured bacterium. Its description in RNAcentral is "bacterial SSU rRNA". It matches the Rfam family "Bacterial small subunit ribosomal RNA", at positions 329 to 793 of the family's 1533-position model. The record is from RNAcentral.
AACCAGACUCCGGAGGCAGCAGUGAGGAAUAUUGGUCAAUGGGCGCGAGCCUGAACCAGCCAAGUCGCGUGAGGGAUGACGGCCCUACGGGUUGUAAACCUCUUUUGCCGGGGAGCAACGGGCGCCACGUGUGGCGCCACUGAGAGUACCCGGAGAAAAAGCAUCGGCUAACUCCGUGCCAGCAGCCGCGGUAAUACGGAGGAUGCGAGCGUUAUCCGGAUUUAUUGGGUUUAAAGGGUGCGCAGGCGGCGUGUCAAGUCAGCGGUAAAAUGUCGGGGCUCAACCCCGGCCGGCCGUUGAAACUGGCGUGCUCGAGUUGGAGAGAAGUAUGCGGAAUUCGUGGUGUAGCGGUGAAAUGCAUAGAUAUCACGAAGAACCCCGAUUGCGAAGGCAGCAUACCGGCUCCACACUGACGCUGAGGCACGAAAGCGUGGGUAUCGAACAGGAUUAGAUACCCUUGUAG